AGUGAACGCUGGCGGCGUGCUUAACACAUGCAAGUCGAACGAGAACGGGGUAUAGCUUGCUAUAAUUGUCAGCUAAGUGGCGCACGGGUGAGUAAUGUAUAGGUAAUAUGCCUCUUACUAAGGGAUAACAAAUGGAAACGUUUGCUAAUACCUUAUACUCCUUAUUAACAUAAGUUAAUAAGGGAAAGAUUUAUUGGUAAGAGAUUAGCCUGUAUUGUAUCAGUUAGUUGGUGGGGUAAUGGCUUAACAAGACUAAGACACAUAACUGGUUUGAGAGGAUGAUCAGUCACACUGGAACUGAUACACGGUCCAGACUCCUACGGGAGGCAGCAGUGGGGAAUAUUGCACAAUGGACGAAAUUCUGAUGCAGCAACGCCGCGUGGAGGAUGACACAUUUCGGUGCGUAAACUCCUUUUAUAUGAGAAGAUAAUGACGGUAUUAUAUGAAUAAGCACCGGCUAACUCCGUGCCAGCCGCCGCGGUAA
Molecule: ribosomal RNA, 484 nt
Filed under: uncultured bacterium
Lineage: Bacteria
Description: partial 16S ribosomal RNA
Rfam family: Bacterial small subunit ribosomal RNA
Source: RNAcentral